Molecule: transfer RNA, 64 nt
Filed under: Donax variegatus
Lineage: Eukaryota; Metazoa; Mollusca; Bivalvia; Cardiida; Donacidae
Description: tRNA-Val
Source: RNAcentral
UAGGGUGUGGUGUAUCAAGCACAUCUCAUUUACGCUGAGAAGGACUUUACUUUAAGCACUCUAA